RNAcentral lists this ribosomal RNA (492 nucleotides) under uncultured bacterium. RNAcentral's name for it is "partial 16S ribosomal RNA". It matches the Rfam family "Bacterial small subunit ribosomal RNA", at positions 29 to 507 of the family's 1533-position model. The record is from RNAcentral.
AGUGAACGCUGGCGGUAGGCCUAACACAUGCAAGUCGAACGGCAGCACAGUAAGAGCUUGCUCUUACGGGUGGCGAGUGGCGGACGGGUGAGGAAUACAUCGGAAUCUACUUUUUCGUGGGGGAUAACGUAGGGAAACUUACGCUAAUACCGCAUACGACCUACGGGUGAAAGCAGGGGAUCUUCGGACCUUGCGUGAUUGAAUGAGCCGAUGUCGGAUUAGCUAGUUGGCGGGGUAAAGGCCCACCAAGGCGACGAUCCGUAGCUGGUCUGAGAGGAUGAGCGGCCACACUAGAACUGUGACACGGUCCAGACUCCUACGUGAGGCAGCAGAGGGGAAUAUUGGACAAUGGGCGCAAGCCUGUACCAGCCAUACCCCUUAGGUGAAGAAGGCGUUCGGGUUGUAAAGCCCUUUUGUUGGGAAAGAAAAGCAGCAGAUGAAUACCCCGCUGUUCUGACGGUACCCAAAGAAUAAGCACCGGCUAACUUCGUG